CUCUCUUCUUCUGCACCAGAAAAACCCAACCCCCUACAGCCUUGCCCCAUACGUGAAACCCACGCGCUUUCCUUGCAACAUCAAUUCCCCACGCGCCACCUCCACAUAAUGUCAAACAACAAAUCAAUCUCAUCCUUUUUUCCGUCAUUGAGUCUCACUGACCUACUACCGUUGAAUUCUUCGUACCAUUUCGAUGGCCAAAACUAUCUCCAGUGGGCCCAACUAAUUAGAACAACUCUCAAAGAUUGCAACAAACUAAACCACAUAGAAUCAAAACCACUAACAGAAAACGAUCCAAAUUUCAACGAAUGGGACAUUCAAGACUCUAUCAUCAUGACAUGGUUAUGGAAUUCCAUGAUUCCAGACAUUGGUCGAAACUGCAUUUCAUUUCAUUUUAACAUUGGUCGAAAUUUGGGAUAAUUUGCAACAAACUUACUUCAUAAAACAGAAUAUUCCAUCUUGUUAUCAGUUAGAGAAUAAAAUAUUGAACACAAAACAAGGGGCACUUACGGUAAUUGACUAUUAUCUAAGUUUGAAUAUGUUGUGGUUUGAGUUAGACAUAUAUAAUAAUUUGAAUUUUAAAAUGAAGUGUAAUGAGGAUUCUGCUAUAUACACAGUUUAUUGAGAAAUCAAGAGUCUUUAAGUUUCUUUCGGGAUUGAACUCCGAAUUUGAUCAUAUUCGAGUUCAGAUUUUGGAAAAGGAUAAACUUCCUUCUCUUACAGAGGUGAAGAAGAACGUCGCACCUUGGCUGCGGGAAAGUCUAGUCGAGAUGAUCGCUGGUGCAGUCAUUGUGGGAGAUUUAAUCACACUAAGGAGAUGUGUUUUAAGCUUCAUGGGAAGGAGAAGGUACUUGGAGGAUUGAAGGGUGUGUCUCAGAGGCGUAAAAAUAAAACAGGAAAGGAUGCGGAGGUUGUGAUGGAAGAAUUGGGUUUGAAACAAGGUGAAGGAGAAGUUUCAAAACCACUUAGUAAAGAAGAGUUGGAACGGAUACAGACUCUUAUGGAUUAUCUUAAUAAGCCGUCUAGCACUUAUUCUGGUUUUUUCGAUCGGCAAAGAUGUUCAUCAGGGUCUUCCCACCGAGCACUUUCAAGUUAUUACAAGCAAACUACGAAUGAUAGAUAUCUAUUCACUAACUUGAAAUGGAGUGUCUCAGGUAUAUAUAUAUACUAGAUUACUAUACAAUCAAAUCUCUAUUAGUACUCAUAUAUAACUAAAUCUCUACUAGUAUCCUAUACAACCGAAUUCCUAUACUUGAGGGAUAUUUUUAAUAAUAAAACAGAAACAAAUUUUGACAUUCUUCUUCAAGUUGGUGAAUAGGUGUUCUCCUUUCCCAACUUCGAUACAAUUAUUUCAAAGUUGUUGUUGUUUAACACUUUAGUUAGAAGAUCUGCAAGGUUGUCUUGGCAGGAGACAUAUGGAGUGCAAAUUAGGCCACCAUUGAGUUUUUCUUUAAUGAAAUGUCGAUCGACUUCAACAUGCUUGAUUAUGUUAUGCUGCAUUGGAUUAUGUGCUAUGCUAAUAGAGAUUUAUUAUCACAAUAAAUUUUCAUUGGUUCAUCCCACUUUAUCCUCAGGUCCUCCAAAAUGAUCUUCAAUGAUAGUAAUUCGCAUAUCCCUUGUGCCAUUGCCCUAAAUUUUGCUUCCACAUUGGAUCUAGAUACCACAUUUUGUUUGUUACUCUUCCAAGGCACAAGAUUCCCACAUAGGAAAGUGUAAUAUCAUGUGGUUGACUUUCUAUCUACAAUUGACCGUGCAUAGUCAGCAUCAGUAUAUGCUUCAAGACCCACAUUUCCAUUUGGUCUAAACAAAAUUCCUCUUCCUAGAGUUCCUUUCAAAUAUUGCACGAUUUUAAGUGCAGCUUGCAAGUGUACCUCCUUUGGUUGGUGCAUGAUUAACUAAUUAGCCUUACAGUGAAGGCAACAUCAGGUCUAGUAUGUGACAAAUAUAUAAAUCUUCCAACUAAUCUUUGGUACAUUUCCUUAUCAACUGCAAUAUCUUCUUCUGCACUUCUCAACUUUAAAUUUGGAUCUAUUGGUGUAUUCGCUAGCUUGCAUGUUGUCUUGUCCGUUUCUUGCAGAAGAUCUAUGAUGUAUUUUUGUUGGGAUAUGAAAAUCCCUUUCUUAGAGUGAACCACUUCAAUUCCCAAGAAAUACUUCAAUUUUCCCAAGGUUUUAAUCUCAAAUUCCUUGGCUAGGUGUUGUCCUAACAGUUGUUGCUCUUUUUCAUCAUCAUCGGUCACUAUAAUGUCGUCCACAUAUAUUAGUAACACUGUUACCACCCCUGACUCAAAGUGUUUGAUAAAGAGGGUAUGAUCUCCUUGGCUUUGUUUGAAGCCUAGAAUCACCAUGACUCUAGCAAACCUCUCAAACCACGCUCAUGGCGAUUGUUUAAGCCCAUAUAGAGCCUUUUUUAGCUUACAAAUCGUGUUGGCAGCAAUAUGCUCAAUGUAUCCAGGGGUAAGUCCAUAAAAAUCUCUUCUUCUAGAUCUUUAUGGAGGAAGGCAUUUUUUACAUCAAAUUAGCUGCUAGAGAAUAUAUCAUCCUGACGGUAUUCAUUUUUGCAACUGGAACGAAUGUUUCCAAGUAAUCUACUCCAUACGUUUUAGUAAAUCCUUUAGCCACCAACUUUGUCUUGUACCUUUCAAUAGACCCAUCAACCUUGUUCCUUAUAGUGUAUACCCACUUGCAUCUUGCAGGAUCUUUUCCAUUUGGUAGAAGGACCAAAUCCCAAGUACCAUUUUUGUCCAAUGCUUCUAUUUCCAAGUCCAUGGCUUGUUUUCAUUUCCUAUCAAACAAUGUUUUAGAUAGAGAGGUAGGUAUAGUGGUAGUGUUCAAGCUUGUGAGAAAGGCUUUAUGGGUAGGUGAAAAUUGUUCAAAGUAUAGGCAGUUGGAUAAAGGGUUGAGUGGUUUAUUGGCACAUGUCCUAGUAUUCUUCCUACGGGCAAUUGGGAUAUGAAGGUCAUCAUAAGUUGGUCGUGUGUUGGAUUCUAAUUCUUGUGCUUAGGUAAAUUCAUAGAUUGGAUCACUAGAGUUUGAAGCGUCAAGGGAAAUUACCUCAUAUAAGGUCGAAUUUGAGUCAUGGAUGUGAAUAGAUUCAGGAAUGACCUUUGUUCUUCUUAUAUAUACUAGAUUCUUCCCAUAUCUUACAUUAGUGACAUCAUUUUCAUCUUCCUAAGAAUCAAUUUAAGUCUCUAACAUUAUCAUUUCUUUUAUUUCCAUCUUUUUCAAAAUCAAUUUCAGUCUCAACUUUUGGUUCAUGAGUUAACUUAGGAAGUAGAGGAGACUCAUCUUCCUUACUUGUAUUCUCCCCCUGAAGAUGAGUCUGACCAAAGAAACUUUUUUGUUCAUGGAAGGUGACAUCUCUGGAGACAAAGAAUUUUUGGAAUGGUGGAUGACAACAUUUGUGGCUCUUUUGGGUGGAAGAGUACUCAAUAAAGACACAUUUUAAGGCUCUAGGAUCAAGUUUCCCUCCACAAUCACUAUGAAUAUGGACAAACGACGCACACUUAAAUAUUAUGGGAGUAAGAUUAUUAUUGGUGGACACAUUAUGGUAGAACGAGUACAUGGCCUCCAUGGGAGUUUUGAAGGCAAGGACACCAGAAGGUAAUCGGUUUAUGAGAUUAAUACGAUACAGUUAAAAUUGCCUCUCGCAAAAUUUCUUGGGAACUUUAUUUUGAAAUAACAUUGCUCGAGUUUGAUCUAACAAGUGUCCAUUUUUUCUCUCAACAUUCCCAUUUUGUUAGGGUGUUUUAACACAUGAGGACUCAUGAAUAAUGCCCUCUUUAUGACAAAAAGAAUCAAGUAUGUGAUUAAAGUAAUAUUUGGCAUUAUUAGACCUAAUCCUCUUAAUACUCACUCCAAAUUGAUUUUUUAUCAAGGAGAAGAACUGUACAAACACAGCACUAACUUCAAAUUUUUGUUUUAGCAAGUAACCCGAGUACAGUCAUCAAUAAAGGUUACAAACCAACAGGCUUCUGAUAUACUUGGAACAUUAGAGGGACCUCAUACAUCAGUAUGAACUAAACAAAAUGGAGAAGUACUAAUUUGGUUACUAACUGGAAAAGGUACAUGUUUGUGUUUAGCAAGCUCACACACCCAGUGAAAUCUUUCUACCUCUAAUUUUUUGAAGAAGGAAGGAAACAAUUGUUUUAUGACUCUAAAUGAAGGAUGACCUAGACGACAGUGGUACAAAAUGACCUUGUCCCUAUUGGUCUUUAUUGAUUUAGAAAAAAAGUAGUUGGUAUUGUUGAGUAGAUUUGGAGGAAGAUUUUGAUUAUCCAAGUAAUAAAGACCAUUCCAUUCUCUAGCAUUACCAAUUGCCCUCCUGAAUUCUUGUCCUGAAAGGCACAAGAUUUGUUAUAAAAAACAACAUUACAUGAUAGGCCUUGUGUUAGUUUUUGUAUGGAAAUUAAGCUAGUGGACAAUUUAGGAAUAUGAAGGACAUUUCUUCGAGUUAUGGAUGAGUUUAUUUGGACAUCUCCUUGACCUGCUGCAACUAGAAGGGUACCAUUUGUUGUGGAUAUUUUCUUGUUGUUAGGGCAAGGUGAAUAAGUGGAGAAGUGUGUAGGUAAGGGUGUCAAUUGGUCAGUGGCUCUAGAAUCCAGUAUCUAAUAUUGGUUAUAGGUUGUAUCUGAAGCAUUAAGUCCAAAAGAAAAUUGAAACUUACCAGGAGGAAGUGUACUUGUAUAUACCUGAAAACUAGUACCUGUUGGUUUCUCCAACUUACUAAAAAGAGAUCUAAUCUUCUCUACUUCAUCUUCAUUGAGUUGGGCCAAUCCACUUUUGCUUUCUUUAACUAUCAUAUUUGUAAAAUCAGCAUACAACCGAUAUUAGAGACGAAAGAUUGAUCUAUCAAACAAAACAAACUUCAAACAUUCAAAAUAUAACCACAAACUGUAAGUGUGCUACAAUGCUGCAACAGAAAAGUCCGAGCAAAAAACCGUGUGAGCUUCAAAUGGCCCACAAACGAAAGUGCUCCGAUCAGAAAGUGAACCCCCAAAAUGAACGAGAAACGGCUGAUCUACAAUCUGGUUGAAAAUGGCGGUGAACGGAUAUCUAGAAGGUGCUGUGUGGGCACCACGCGUCGAAGAUGAUGUCGCAAGUAGGCGUCACGUGCCGAACUGGAAGGCGCACGUGAAUAGGUCGUUAACAACGAUGCUUUGGGUUUCAGCCGAUCUAAUAGAGGCGAGUCUUGUGAUGUGGGCGGUGGUGUGAAGUAGACGGUUAAACGGACGUGAACAGUAACAGCGUGAAUAUUGAACACACUAUGACAGCGAACAAGCCAAAAAGAAAUCUCAAGUUGUAGAUGAAAGCAACAAAAAGGGCCACAACGAAGGUGGCUAAGGUUUCAGGAAAAAAGAAACCACAAUGAAGGCGGCAGGAGACUCCCAAAGACUGAGAGCAAGAAUUAGGGUAAAAAAUAUGUUGAUAAUACAUCAUAUAUAUAUAUACACUAAUUUACUAUACAGCCAACCCCAAUCAGUACUCAUAUAUAACUAAAUUCCCACUAGUACUCCUAUACAAUCGAAUCCCUAUACUAAGGGAUAUUUUUAAUAAUAAAAAAGAAACAGAUUUUGACAGAGUGUUGUGUUAUAUAAUUAGUAGCAAUUUGCUUCCUUAGUUAGGACAAAUUUAAUUACAUAUGAUUUGUACAGUAUUUCUUCUCUUGUGAUUCCUUAAUUAUGAUAGAAGUAGUCUAUACUUAUGCUGUAUGAUCACUUUCUCUAUAAACUGAAUUAGAAAUUCAGUUCCUUAUCUCAGCUAACAAUAUUUUUAUAAAACAAACCAGAAAUACAAAGAUUUAAUUAAAUGCAAAAACUAUAAUGGAGUUACUAGCUAAUGCAAUCAAAAUCUGAGUUCCUUCAUGUGUUCAAAUCUCUGUGCAUAUGUUUAGAUUACAAAUUGAUUAAAUCAGGAUGAAACAUUUUCCAUUUGGUUUUAGGCAUUUAACUAGAAGAUGCCUUACCUAUCAACAAUCAAAUGUGAGUCUAUGAUAUUAAAAUGAUUAUACUAACAUAUGUGAUUGGUGAACAUUGUGAAUCCAGUUACUUCUAGAGGCAGACCGAAUAUAAGUAAAACAUAACCAAACCUCAGAAGUGACAAAAUGAGUUGCCAAUCCAGCUGCAAUUAAUUCCAUUCCAUUCAACCGCCCUCCGGUAAGUGCCAAGUAUUCGCCU
Non-coding RNA from Cicer arietinum (chickpea), 6175 nucleotides. The record is from RefSeq and is a predicted model, not a curated record. Lineage: Eukaryota; Viridiplantae; Streptophyta; Magnoliopsida; Fabales; Fabaceae.